ACCCAACAUAAAAAUGAGACAAAUAAAACAAAAUUAGCCAACAGGGAAUUGGAAUAGGAAAGUCCACCAUCGAGAACCUUCAUCUUUUUCACAAGAAUAGGGUCCCUGAGAUGGAUUCACGCUGGUGUUGAUAUCAACUGGAAGCACCUGAUACAGGUCCUAACUUGGUCCAAGAGAAAGCUAGCUUGAGUAGAAAUCAUUGAGGACUCUUCAAAGUCUCACAAGCGCCAUGACUCUAGCUCGUUGAAGACUCCUUCAACAUAGCUUUAUAGAAUCAGGAAAAAUUACCAAUUGAGCUUCAAAAGGAACUAAUACCACUGUUCAGGGAUGAAUCUUAUCAUAUCUAUGAAGUCUAUUUUUUGUGGAAUCUGGCCUGAAUUUCUAGAAGCGGGUCCCAUAUUUCUCAUUUUGGACCCUAAAAUUGACCCAUCUCCGAAAAUAUAAUUUUAGUAUCAAAACAUUUGUAUUGAGGAGGUGAUCAACAUUUUGAUAGCAUGGAGGCAAUUGGAGUUAUUUUUGGAGUUGAAAGUUACCGGGAAGUGGACUGGGAGCGCACGUGUUCGGCUUCGAGGCACACAGGGGCUUGGGAGGUAAUGUCUGAUUAUUUGCGAACUUGUGGCAGUAUAAAGGGUGGUCUCGUGUUUGAAGAUCAUAGGACAGGUUUUCUUUGCUGAUUUGGAUAUCGUGCGGAGCAACUCUUGGAUUUUAGAGACUUGGGUGAGUUCUUGGCAUUAAGAGUUGCCUAUCUCCCUUUGUUUUGACUUGGACUAGUCUUUAUUUUAUUUUUGGAGACAGUCACACUAUUAUUGUAUCUGUAUAAACCUUGUACUUCCUUAUUUAGUCUAGUGGCUCAACUACUGACUGAGACUAGGUUUUUGGGGUUAUCUUGUUGUAUUGUUCUCAUUCUUCUUUUCUUAUUAUAAAUAUUAUUAUUAUUCA
Solanum dulcamara is the source of this 939-nucleotide long non-coding RNA. RefSeq lists it as uncharacterized. The record is from RefSeq and is a predicted model, not a curated record. The transcript has 5 exons. Lineage: Eukaryota; Viridiplantae; Streptophyta; Magnoliopsida; Solanales; Solanaceae.